GAAAUGCGAUAAGUAAUGUGAAUUGCAGAAUUCAGUGAAUCAUCGAAUCUUUGAACGCACAUUGCGCCCCUUGGUAUUCCGGGGGGCAUGCCUGUUCGAGCGUCAUUAUCACCCCUCAAGCUUAGCUUGGUGUUGGGACCCGCCCGUCAGAAGGCGGUCCCUAAAAGCAGUGGCGGUGCCAUCUGGCUCUACGCGUAGUAAUAAUCCUUCCUCGCGACAGGGUCCCGGUGGUGUCCUGCCAGAACCUCACUUUUAUCAUGAUUGACCUCGGAUCAGGUAGGGAUACCCGCUGAACUUAA
This 299-nucleotide unclassified non-coding RNA is filed under the name uncultured Helotiales. Its description in RNAcentral is "sequence contains ITS1". The stretch from base 1 to 105 matches the Rfam family "5.8S ribosomal RNA", at positions 50 to 154 of the family's 154-position model. Lineage: Eukaryota; Fungi; Ascomycota; Leotiomycetes; Helotiales. The record is from RNAcentral.